GAGUUUGAUCAUGGUUCAGGACGAACGCUGGCGGCGUGCCUAAGACAUGCAAGUCGUGCGAUUCUCUGGAGCUUGCUCCAGAGGAUAGCGGCGGACGGGUGAGUAACGCGUAGGCAACCUGCCCACAGGACCGGGACAACAGGACGAAAGCCCUGCUAAUACCGGAUAGGCACCAGGCUCCGCAUGGAGCUCGGUGGAAAGGGGUAACCCACCUGUGGAUGGGCCUGCGUCCCAUUAGCUUGUUGGUGAGGUAACGGCCCACCAAGGCUUCGAUGGGUAGCCGACCUGAGAGGGUGACCGGCCACACUGGGACUGAGACACGGCCCAGACUCCUACGGGAGGCAGCAGUCGGGAAUUUUCCACAAUGGGCGAAAGCCUGAUGGAGCAACGCCGCGUGAGUGAGGAAGGUCUUCGGAUUGUAAAACUCUGUCCCGAGGGAAGAACACAAUGACGGUACCUCGGGAGGAAGCCCCGGCUAACUACGUGCCAGCAGCCGCGGUAAUACGUAGGGGGCAAGCGUUGUCCGGAGUUACUGGGCGUAAAGGGCGUGUAGGCGGUUCGCUAAGUCGGGUGUGAAAGUGCAGGGCUUAACCUUGCAAGUGCAUCCGAA
Molecule: ribosomal RNA, 610 nt
Filed under: uncultured Clostridia bacterium
Lineage: Bacteria; Bacillati; Bacillota; Clostridia
Description: bacterial SSU rRNA
Rfam family: Bacterial small subunit ribosomal RNA
Source: RNAcentral